RNAcentral lists this ribosomal RNA (936 nucleotides) under uncultured bacterium. RNAcentral describes it as "bacterial SSU rRNA". It matches the Rfam family "Bacterial small subunit ribosomal RNA", at positions 8 to 916 of the family's 1533-position model. The record is from RNAcentral.
AGAGUUUGAUCAUGGCUCAGAACGAACGCUUGCGGCGUGCUUAACACAUGCAAGUCGAACGAGAAAGGGGACUUCGGUUCCUGAGUAAAGUGGCGCACGGGUGAGUAACGCGUAGAUAAUCUACCCUUGUGUACGGGACAACAUCGGGAAACUGGUGCUAAUACCGAAUACGUUUCUAAUAUAGCGAUAUAUUUGAAAGAAAGAUGGCCUCUUCAUGAAAGCUAUCGCACGAGGAUGAGUCUGCGUACCAUUAGCUAGUUGGUGGGGUAAUGGCCCACCAAGGCGACGAUGGUUAGCGGGUCUGAGAGGAUGAUCCGCCACACUGGCACUGGAACACGGGCCAGACUCCUACGGGAGGCAGCAGUGAGGAAUUUUGCACAAUGGGGGAAACCCUGAUGCAGCGACGCCGCGUGAGUGAUGAAGGCCUUAGGGUCGUAAAACUCUGUCAAUAGGGAAGAAAUGUGUAUUGGUUAAUACCCAGUACAUUUGACGGUACCUAUAAAGGAAGCACCGGCUAAAUCCGUGCCAGCAGCCGCGGUAAUACGGAUGGUGCGAGCGUUGUUCGGAAUUACUGGGCGUAAAGGGCGCGUAGGCGGCCUGCCAAGUCAGAUGUGAAAGCCCACGGCUCAACCGUGGAAGUGCAUCUGAAACUGGUAGGCUUGAGUACUGGAGAGGAAAGUGGAAUUCCUGGUGUAGAGGUGAAAUUCGUAGAUAUCAGGAGGAAUACCGGUGGCGAAGGCGACUUUCUGGACAGAUACUGACGCUGAGGCGCGAAAGCGUGGGGAGCAAACAGGAUUAGAUACCCUGGUAGUCCACAGCUGUAAACGAUGUGCACUAGGUGUAGGGGGUCGUUGACCCUUUCUGUGCCGCAGCUAACGCAUUAAGUGCACCGCCUGGGGAGUACGGUCGCAAGAUUAAAACUCAAGGAAUUGACGG